Molecule: small nuclear RNA, 106 nt
Organism: Lontra canadensis (Northern American river otter)
Lineage: Eukaryota; Metazoa; Chordata; Mammalia; Carnivora; Mustelidae
Source: RefSeq, a predicted model, not a curated record
GUGCUGGCUUAAGCAGCACAUAUACUGAAAGUGGAACAACACAGAGAAGAUUAGCAUGGCCCCGUGCAAGGAUGACCUACAAAUUCGUGAAGUGUUCCAUGUUGUA